RNAcentral lists this ribosomal RNA (449 nucleotides) under Trypanosyllis coeliaca. RNAcentral's name for it is "partial 16S ribosomal RNA". It matches the Rfam family "Bacterial large subunit ribosomal RNA", at positions 1853 to 2597 of the family's 2925-position model. Lineage: Eukaryota; Metazoa; Annelida; Polychaeta; Phyllodocida; Syllidae. The record is from RNAcentral.
UAAGUACUGCCCAGUGAAUCUUCAACGGCCGCGGUACACUGACUGUGCAAAGGUAGCAUAAUCCGUAGCCCCUUAAUUAGGGGAUAGAAUGAAUGAAUCAACAAAAAACUAACUGUCUCUAUAUUAAAAAUAAAACCUUAUCUUUAGGUGAAAACGCCUAAAUACCACAAAAAGACAAGAAGACCCUAAAAGCUCCUAAAAAUAAAAUACUGGUAUUCUAAUUUUUUUAGUCGGGAAGACACUUAGUAUAAUAAACACUUACUUAAUAAAGAUUUAUAAAUCUAACCCCUUAACCCAUUAAUGAAUAAAAGUAAGCUACUUUAGGGGUAACAGGCUUAUAUUCCUUAAGAGUACGCAUUGACAGGAAUGUUUGGCACCUCGAUGUUGGCUUAGGGAUCCCUUAAUAUGCAGGAGUAUUAAAGGAAGGUUUGUUCAACCUAUAACCCCCU